This 303-nucleotide ribosomal RNA is filed under the name uncultured eukaryote. RNAcentral describes it as "partial large subunit ribosomal RNA". It matches the Rfam family "Bacterial large subunit ribosomal RNA", at positions 200 to 500 of the family's 2925-position model. The record is from RNAcentral.
AUCUAAGUAGGCGGAGGAGAAGAAAAUAACAAUGAUUGCGCAAGUAGUGGCGAGCGAACGCGCAAGAGCCCAAACCAAACCGGUUACGGCCGGUUUGGGGUUGUAGGACUACGAUGUGGACUUAGGAUUUAUAGUGGAACAGGUUUGGAAAGGCCGAUCAUAGAGGGUGAUAAUCCCGUACACGACAUAAAUUUUAUACCUAGUAGUAUCCUGAGUACUGCGGGGUCGGAGACGCCCUGUAGGAAAUUGCCGGCACCAUCCGGUAAGGCUAAAUACUCCCAAGAGACCGAUAGCGCACAAGUA